This 951-nucleotide ribosomal RNA is filed under the name Triticum aestivum (bread wheat). RNAcentral describes it as "partial small subunit ribosomal RNA". Lineage: Eukaryota; Viridiplantae; Streptophyta; Magnoliopsida; Poales; Poaceae. The record is from RNAcentral.
AUGACGACGACGUACGAUACCCGCGAAGAACAUGUACACGUGCCCUGUAUAUAUACACAUACCACCUUUGUUCUGCAGAGCCAUCCACGCUCCAUCGAUCUCCGUCUCCACAUCGUACGUUUCACCGGGGAACCAUCUAUGGUCUCCAUGGCGGCGGCCAAGCUCGCCGUCCUCCUGGCCGUGGCGGCACUCUUCGCCGUGGCGGAGGCAGCGAAUCCCCAGGAAGCCCACUGCUGGCAGUGCUACUACUCCUGCAUGCAGCAGAAGUGCGGCGGCUACCGCAACCCAGCCGCCCACACAGCCGUCGACGACGGUACGGCGGCCGCCUCCGUCCCCCUCAACUCCACCGACGGCACUACAGCCGUCGUGCACCCCGCCGAUGGUGGUGCAGCCGCCCACGUCGCCGGUGGGUACGAGAGCUACUGCAAGUGCAACAAGGCGUGCAUCCUGGACUGCUACAAGGCCCUGCCGCCGGUGUGCUACCAGAUGUGCGUCUCCGAGACCUGCUCCAAGCUGCCACCAUGUAAGCAGGCGGAAUGCUACAAAGCAUGCGGGGACAAAUGCUACCACAAGCAGCCAAGCCCGGGCCCGAAGCCGCCAAGCCCGAAGCCGAACCCAGGCCCGAAGCCGCCAAGCCCGAAGCCCACUCCGCCAAAGCCCGCACCUCCGAACCACGGUGGUUCACCGAAGCCCACGCCGCCAAAGCCCACACCUCCAAACCACGGUGGUUCACCGAAGCCCACGCCGCCAAAGCCCACACCUCCGGACCACGGUGGUUCACCGAAGCCCAAGCCGCCGAGGCCAACCCCGCCGAAGCGGCCGUGCCCUCCUCAUGCGCCCAAGCCCAAGCCCAAGCCGAAGCCGUGUCCGCCAAAGCCCAAGCCCAAGCCGCCAUGCCCAUGCCCGCCAGCGGCCGAUGGAUCCGCGUCGACCGACAUCAGCAACAACUGA